This 586-nucleotide ribosomal RNA is filed under the name Filobasidium stepposum. RNAcentral describes it as "partial large subunit ribosomal RNA". It matches the Rfam family "Eukaryotic large subunit ribosomal RNA", at positions 53 to 625 of the family's 3401-position model. Lineage: Eukaryota; Fungi; Basidiomycota; Tremellomycetes; Filobasidiales; Filobasidiaceae. The record is from RNAcentral.
GAGGAAAAGAAACUAACAAGGAUUCCCCUAGUAACGGCGAGUGAAGCGGGAAGAGCUCAAAUUUGAAAUCUGGUGGCCUCAGGUCAUCCGAGUUGUAAUCUAUAGAAGUGUUUUCCGUGCUGGCUCAUGUACAAGUCCCUUGGAACAGGGCGUCAUAGAGGGUGAGAAUCCCGUCCUUGACAUGAACUACCAGUGCUCUGUGAUACAUUUUCAACGAGUCGAGUUGUUUGGGAAUGCAGCUCAAAAUGGGUGGUAAAUUCCAUCUAAAGCUAAAUAUUGGCGAGAGACCGAUAGCGAACAAGUACCGUGAGGGAAAGAUGAAAAGCACUUUGGAAAGAGAGUUAAACAGUAUGUGAAAUUGUUAAAAGGGAAACGAUUGAAGUCAGUCGUGCUCUUUGGAUUCAGCCGGUUCUGCCGGUGUACUUCCUUUGAGUGGGGUCAACAUCAGUUUUGAUCGCUGGAUAAAGGCUGGAGGAACGUAGCACCCCCGGGUGAACUUAUAGCCUCCUGUCACAUACAGUGGUUGGGACUGAGGAACGCAGCACGCCUUUAUGGCCAGGAUCCGUCCAUGUACGUGCUUAGGAUG